GUCUUUGUAGUUCAACGGAUAGAACAACCCCCUCCUAAGGGGUAGAUGUAGGUUCGAUUCCUGCCGGGGAUACCA
This 75-nucleotide transfer RNA is filed under the name Candidatus Altimarinota bacterium. RNAcentral describes it as "tRNA-Arg". It matches the Rfam family "tRNA". Rfam says of the family: Transfer RNA (tRNA) molecules are approximately 80 nucleotides in length. Their secondary structure includes four short double-helical elements and three loops (D, anti-codon, and T loops). The record is from RNAcentral. Lineage: Bacteria; Candidatus Altimarinota.